AACCACGAGGCCCUAGAAGAGUUCAAGAAGUUCGCACAACAGAAAGGCUUCCCACCAGAAAACAUCAUAGUUCCUGAGCAGAGAGAAAUGUGUGUCCCUAAAAACCACAAUGCUGUCCCUUGGAACUGCAAAUCUUGAGUCAACUCUGCACCAGU
Molecule: long non-coding RNA, 155 nt
Organism: Microtus oregoni (creeping vole)
Lineage: Eukaryota; Metazoa; Chordata; Mammalia; Rodentia; Cricetidae
Exons: 3
Source: RefSeq, a predicted model, not a curated record